Molecule: small nucleolar RNA, 94 nt
Organism: Musa acuminata AAA Group (dessert banana)
Lineage: Eukaryota; Viridiplantae; Streptophyta; Magnoliopsida; Zingiberales; Musaceae
Product: small nucleolar RNA snoR114
Exons: 1
Source: RefSeq, a predicted model, not a curated record
AAGCAAUGAGGUUUUAUAUGCGCUUGAUGUGAUGGACUGGGUUCAAUCACGACCGUCUGAUUUCAUUAGAAGACAAUUCAGCGCAUCUGAGCUU